This 494-nucleotide ribosomal RNA is filed under the name uncultured bacterium. RNAcentral describes it as "partial 16S ribosomal RNA". It matches the Rfam family "Bacterial small subunit ribosomal RNA", at positions 28 to 507 of the family's 1533-position model. The record is from RNAcentral.
GACGAACGCUGGCGGCGUGCUUAACACAUGCAAGUCGAACGGUGAAGCGCCUUCCUUUUUGGUGGGUGUGGAUGAGUGGCGAACGGGUGAGUAACACGUGAGUAACCUGCCCCCUUCUUCUGGAUAACCGCAUGAAAGUGUGGCUAAUACGGGAUAUUCUGGGUCUGUCGCAUGAUGGGUCUGGGAAAGAUAUUGUUUCGGUGGGGGAUGGGCUCGCGGCCUAUCAGCUUGUUGGUGGGGUGAUGGCCUACCAAGGCGGUGACGGGUAGCCGGCCUGAGAGGGUGGACGGUCACACUGGGACUGAGACACGGCCCAGACUCCUACGGGAGGCAGCAGUGGGGAAUAUUGCACAAUGGGCGCAAGCCUGAUGCAGCGACGCCGCGUGAGGGAUGGAGGCCUUCGGGUUGUGAACCUCUUUCGACAGUGAAGCAGGCCUGCCUCGUUUGUGGGUGGGUUGACGGUAGCUGGAGAAGAAGCGCCGGCUAACUACGUG